RNAcentral lists this ribosomal RNA (565 nucleotides) under uncultured Glomus. RNAcentral's name for it is "SSU rRNA". It matches the Rfam family "Eukaryotic small subunit ribosomal RNA", at positions 546 to 1106 of the family's 1831-position model. The record is from RNAcentral. Lineage: Eukaryota; Fungi; Glomeromycota; Glomeromycetes; Glomerales; Glomeraceae.
AAUUGGAGGGCAAGUCUGGUGCCAGCAGCCGCGGUAAUUCCAGCUCCAAUAGCGUAUAUUAAAGUUGUUGCAGUUAAAAAGCUCGUAGUUGAAUUUCGGGAUUGACACAUCGGUCGUGCCUUAAGGGGUAUGAACUGGUGUAGUCAAUUUCUCACCUUCUGGAGAACCGCGAUGCCCUUAAUUGGGUGUCACGGGGAACCAGGACCUUUACUUUGAAAAAAUUAGAGUGUUUAAAGCAGGCAUUUUGCUUGAAUACAUUAGCAUGGAAUAAUAAAAUAGGACGGCAUGAUUCUAUUUUGUUGGUUUCUAGGAUCACCGUAAUGAUUAAUAGGGAUAGUUGGGGGCAUUAGUAUUCAAUUGUCGGAGGUGAAAUUCUUGGAUUUAUUGAAGACUAACUACUGCGAAAGCAUUUGCCAAGGAUGUUUUCAUUAAUCAAGAACGAAAGUUAGGGGAUCGAAGACGAUCAGAUACCGUCGUAGUCUUAACCAUAAACUAUGCCGACUAGGAAUCAGACGAUGUUAAUUUUUUAAUGACUCGUUUGGCACCUUACGGGAAACCAAAGUGU